RNAcentral lists this transfer RNA (125 nucleotides) under Vibrio parahaemolyticus. RNAcentral describes it as "tRNA-Leu". The record is from RNAcentral. Lineage: Bacteria; Pseudomonadati; Pseudomonadota; Gammaproteobacteria; Vibrionales; Vibrionaceae.
GUCCCGGAGUCGAACCGAGGUCCACGGAUUUGCAAUCCGCUGCAUAGCCACUCUGCCAACGCGCCAGGGAUUUAAAAUCCCUCGGCGUUCGCGCUGUGCCGGUUCAAGUCCGGCCCGGGGCACCA